GGAUAAACCGCGAUAGGCCAAGAUUUCUGGAAUGGAUCAUGGCUGAAAUCUAUAUGGCCCUUGGAUUGGACUGCGGCCGAUCAGGCUGUUGGUGAGGUGAUGGCCCACCAAACCUAUAACCGGUACGGGCUUUGAGAGAAGGAGCCCGGAGAUGGGCACUGAGACAAGGGCCCAGGCCCUAUGGGGCGCAGCAGGCGCGAAAACUCUGCAAUAGGCGAAAGCUUGACAGGGUUACUCUGAGUGAUGUCCGUUAAGGGCAUCUUUUGGUACCUCUAAGAAUGGUGCAGAAUAAGGGGUGGGCAAGUCUGGUGUCAGCCGCCGCGGUAAUACCAGCACCCCGAGUGGUCGGGACGAUUAUUGGGCCUAAAGCAUCCGUAGCUUGUCCUGCAAGUCUUCCGUUAAAUCCACCUGCUCAACAGAUGGGCUGCGGAGGAUACUACAGGGCUAGGAGGCGGGAGAGGCAAGCGGUACUCAGUGGGUAGGGGUAAAAUCCUCUGAUCCACUGAAGACCACCAGUGGCGAAGGCGGCUUGCCAGAACGCGCUCGACGGUGAGGGAUGAAAGCUGGGGGAGCAAACCCGGAUUAGAUACCCCGGGUAGUCCCCAGCUGGUAAACGAUGCAAACUCCGGUGAAUGGGGUUGGGCUUCCAAGCCAACCCAGUUGCCGGCAGGGGAAAGCCCGUUAAAGUCUGCCCGCCCGGGGGGAGUACCGGUCCGCAAAGACUGGAAACUUUAAAGGGAAUUUGGGCGGGGGGGAGCCAC
Molecule: ribosomal RNA, 761 nt
Filed under: uncultured archaeon
Lineage: Archaea
Description: bacterial SSU rRNA
Rfam family: Archaeal small subunit ribosomal RNA
Source: RNAcentral